AUGGUCAUUUAUGUCACGGAGAAAAUUGUUGAUUCGGAGAAAGAUCUCUUGGAGGAGCCGAUAGUGGCAGAAGGAAUCGUGUUCAUGGCGUUGACAUUGUUUCCAAAACAGUUGAUGGUUGGACCGGUUAUGACUGAAUUGAUUUGGAAUGAGAUUCUUGGUUUUGGUGCUGCAUGUUACUUGGACUUGUGUGGACAUAUGUUUGUUGCACCACCUGCUGCAACUUUCUGA
This 231-nucleotide long non-coding RNA is filed under the name Vicia faba (fava bean). Lineage: Eukaryota; Viridiplantae; Streptophyta; Magnoliopsida; Fabales; Fabaceae. The record is from RNAcentral.